AAUAUCAUAAUACUUGGCGAAAUUUCAUGCAGGGGCUGUGUUGCUAACAAUCCAACACUCAUCUCUCGAUCCUUUGAGAUUCCGAUCUCUCCCUUUCAGCUUCGCUUUAGCACAUUCCAGCAGUUUGCAGCUUCUGAGACGUGGCAAUGCUCUGUGCCCUCAGUCUAACUCAAACACUUUCUACAGAAUAAUUUACGAUUCUUUGCAAACAGUGUUAAAGUUGAUGGAACACAUUUUAUUUCUGUGCAAAUGAUGAUUUUGGGGAUCCGGAAUUACAACAACUGUUUAUCCAUGAGCUUUGAAGGAAGAUCCCACAGCAUGUUAAAGAAGCAUCAUGAACAGAGUAUCUAAAGUAAAGCUACCAGAAAUUUUCCAACUCACGUUUGCUUCUCUUCAAACAUCUUUAGAAUAUUUACCGACUUGGCAAUGGCAUUCCUAGAAACCUCAAAUAAAAUGGACUUCAUCCUAAAGGUGAAGAUCAUGGAUGAUUUGUGAUUCUAAACAUUGGCUUUAGAAGCACAUCAUUCUAAAGACAAAGAGGGAAAGGGAUAUCCCAACACUUAUGCGUUUAAAAGAUUCUUGGAAACCUAGAAGAUGAUGACAUCCUUCGAGACAAUAAGGAAUUGAAUUUGCAAUCCCAACACUGCCCAAUGUAGAAGAUGAUUUACAUACAUUAAAUAAACAUGCCCUGGAAGUAAUCACCUUUAUGUUUCUUGUUUAUCUUUCCAUCAAGACCCAAACAUUUUUUAAGAGACGUGUUUUGUUUCAUUUCAAACUAUGCUUUUAAAGUGUAAUCCAGUUCCUAUUUCAAAUACAGAAAUCAGUACUGAUAAAGCAAAAUACUUUCUAGAACAGUCACAUUGCUGAAUUAACGGAAAAGUUUUCUACUUUCUGCUUGACUAGUUACAAUGGGCUCAUUGCCUGCAAUAUUAACUAGGCAGCAGAUGUACAUCCAACAAAUUUCAAUGCCUCUGUUUGCAGCGUUUUACUGCAGUCAUCACCUCAUUACCAUUUUACUUCUGGUUUGGCAUCAGUUGCAUGGCAACAGAUGUGCUCAGCAGCUACAAAGUGCACACACAGCCACAGACUGUAAAGAGCUGGUCCACAGCUAGGGUUGAAAUGGAUUCAGGGUUGGAAGCAAGAGAGGAACAAAUUUCACAUUGGAUUCAGGACAGGUAAAGGCUGAACUCAGAUUUAACAACAACAAAUCUUUUUUGCGCAUUUAACAGAAUGAAAUUUCUCAAGGCACUUCACAGGACUGUAAGUUUCUUGCUAAACUUUGAAUAACCCUCAACUCUGAAUAAGUUACUAGUCUAAUGAUACUACUCUAUAUUAAUCCAGUUUUUUUCCAUUGAAUACAAAAUUGUCGUUUUCGUCUUCAAACCCCUCAUUGCCUCAUUUCCCUAAUCCUGCAACCUAUGGAGUCUUAAGUGUCAAUGUUUAUCCAUUGCUUUUUCAACUUUAGCUUUCUUUUUGUCCCUCUUUCAACUCUCUAUAAUCAUUUGUGAGCUUUCAGCCAUUUUAUCACACACUCUGGAACUCUUUCCAUAAUAACCAGUGCUUUGCGAACAUUUGUGUCUUCUAUCUAUUAACUCCACUGCCAGUGAAAAUAGUUUCUCCUUAAUUUCUUAAAACUCUGCAUUGCCUUGAAUGCAUCUAUUAAAGUCCCCAAAAUCUUCUCCGUUGUGAGGAGAACGUCUUAACUUCUCAACAAUUCUGAAGAAAGGUGACAGGACUCGAAAUGUUAACUCAGUUUUCUCUACACAGAUGUGUUUCUUCAGUACUUUCUGUGUUUGUUUGAUUCAGAUCGCAAGCAUUCACAGUUCUUUGUUUUAUUGCCCCAACGUCUCUGGUAUUUUCAUAAAACUGAAAACUUUCAUCCUGAUACUAUUUAGUAAAUCUUUGCACCUUUUCCAAAGCCUUUUCCAUCUUUCUUAAAGAGUGGUGUCCAAAAUUGGAUACAACGAGAUCCAUUUUAAUGUGUGCUAGUUUGGAUUGGAUUAAAAUUGGGCCUAAUAUCUCCACUGAGGCCUAACUAGUGAUUUGUAGCGGUUUAACAUAACUUGCUUGUGUUCAAUAUUUGUAUAACCCAGAACUCCACAUAGUUUUUUAAACAAGUUUAUCAAUUUGAUGUGCCAUUUUUUCACAGAUUUCCAUACCAGAAUUUUCUUGUUGCUUCUGUAAAUAAGCAAGUUGCCAGAAGAAAUAUGUGUUUUAUCACCACAUACAUGCAUUUUAAAAUUUAUUCAGCUCAAAUGGUCACUGGAAAUAAACAAACUAUCUUGGUUCCAGGAGCACACUGUGAUAAUUCUACUUUUUGUCCUCAGAGUUAUAAUUAUAGAUAUUGCUUUCAUUAGCUCUCAGAUGUGUACACCGCAAAAAUAUUGAAACAGUGAAUCCUGAGCUUGUAUCAAAUUGAAGACAAUGUAAUUGUUCCCCAUUAGUUUAUUUCACACUCCUUUGCAUUUAAUUCAUUUGUACUGAAGUGAAUAUAAGUUUUUUAGUA
This is a long non-coding RNA of Rhincodon typus (whale shark), 2506 nucleotides long. RefSeq lists it as uncharacterized. The record is from RefSeq and is a predicted model, not a curated record. The transcript has 5 exons. Lineage: Eukaryota; Metazoa; Chordata; Chondrichthyes; Orectolobiformes; Rhincodontidae.